This 3055-nucleotide long non-coding RNA is filed under the name Homo sapiens (human). RNAcentral's name for it is "HSALNT0241305". Lineage: Eukaryota; Metazoa; Chordata; Mammalia; Primates; Hominidae. The record is from RNAcentral.
UUCUACUCUGAAGGCACAGUGGGUGGGGCCCUUUGCCGUUCUCCCCUCCCUCUGCCUGGAGAGAAGCUAAGCCUCAGGACUAAUCCCGUGUGGGAAGGGCCAUGAUGUGUCUGCUCUGGGCAUUGAGGAUGCGGGUCCCUAUUGCCCCUCAGUCAGGACUUCCAUUCCCAGAAUUAGGAUUUGCCCCAAAUGGUUCAGCCCUUGCAUCCCUCUCCUCAACUCCUAGCUCUGCUUGCCUCUGACACUUGGGAUCCUGGGCUCCUGCAAACUAAAUAACAGCUGCCAUUGCUGGAGCCCCGCUGGGUGCGAAACACUCAUGGGCAUCUUCCCACUGAAUCCACACAACAGCCCUAUGAGAUAGAGUUUCUUUUCACCUCCCUUUUAGAGAGGGAAACUAAAGCUCCAAGGGGCUAAUUUGCCUGAGGGCACACAGCCUGGGAGAGCCUCUCUGAGCUACUGUGAGGAUUCAACCAUGCAUGUUGGUGCUUCAGUGGUGCCCACCAAACAGAAAGCCUUCUCCAGUCGGUUCUGUUGCUACUAUUGCUGUUAAUAUUAACAUUAAGCGAUGGAGUUGGCAGUGGCCCCUAUUCUGUCUCCCUGCAAAGCUGGUACCCACCAUUAACUCUGAGUGGGUCUGUUCUUGAAAAGCCUGAGGUAGUGGGGGCAGAGAGGGCUGGGUUCCCAGAUGUGAGGCAUCUCUGGGGUGACCGCUAAUCCACUCAGCACAGCAGGUGUGAGCCCACAGCAGCAGGAUUUCCUCAGAUCCACGAUGGCUAACUUUUCAACACUGCUCCUCCCCCUCAACAGGGCUUUCUUUCUUUUCUUCUGUUUUUUUUUUUUUCUUUUUGUUUUUUGUUUUUGAGAUAGAGUCUUGCUCUGUCGCCCAGGCUGAAGUACAGUGGCAUGAUCUCGGCUCACUGCAACCUCCGCCUCCCGGGUUCAAGUGAUUCUCCUGCCUCAGCCUCCGGAGUAGCUGGGACUACAGGCAGCACCACCAUGCCCAGAUACUUUUUGUAUUUUUAGUAGAGACGGGGUUUCACCACGGUCCCCAGGAUGGUAUCAAUCUCUUGACCUCGUAAUCCACCUGCCUCAGCCUCCCAAAGUGCUGGGAUUACAGGUGUGAGCCACCACGCCUGGCCCCCUUUUCUUUUUUUCCUACCAUUUACUACUUUUAAAUGUUGAAGAUUUUAAAGUAGAUUACAGGCCAGCGUGGUGGCUCACACCUGUAAUCCCAGCACUUUGGGAGGCUGAGGAGGGAGGAUCUCUUGAGCCUGGGAGUUCGAGACCAGCCUAGGCAACAUAGCAAGAUCCUGCCUCAAAAAAAAAAAAAAAGAUUCUAAACAUCAUGAUGUUCCACCCCGAAAGAGUUGGGUUCAUAUUCUCAAAAUAGGCUGGGCGUGGUGGCUCACGCCUGUAAUCCUAGCACUUUGGGAGGCCAAGGCGUGUGGAUCACCUGAGGUCAGGAGUUCCAGACCAGCCUGGCCAACAUGGCAAAACCCCGUCUCUACUAAAAAUACAAAACUUAGCUGGGCGAGGUGGCAGGCACCUGUAAUCCCAGCUACUCAGGAGGCUGAGGCAGGAGAAUCACUUGAAACUGGCAGGCAGAGGUUGCAGUGAGCUGAGAUGGUGCCAUUGCACUCCAGCCUGAGCUACAGAGCAAGACUCCAUCUCAAAAACAAACAAACAAAAAACCAUAUCUCUCAAAAUAAGAACAUUCUACCUAGCCCAAACAACAUUUUAUUACACACAAUUAUUAAUUUCUUAAUAUCAUCAAAUAUCCAAUCUAAAUUCCAGUUUCUCCAGUUAUCCUGAAACCGCCUUUUCCAGCUGCUCUGUUUUUCCAGGCUAGGACCACACAUUGCAUUUGUUCCCCUUUCAAUUCUCUUUUAAUCUAGCCCAGUCCUUCUCCUUGCUAUUGACUUGCUGACCAGUCUGGGCUGGUGUCCUAUAGAAUGUUCCACCUUUUGGGUCUAAUUACAUCCUCAUGGGUGGUUCCUCGAUACACAUUUCCUGUGAACUGGAGGUUAGAUCUAAACACUUGAUUAGAGUCACAUUAAACAUUUGGGCUGGGCAUGGUGGCUCACGCCUGUAAUCCCAGCACUUUGGGAGGCUGAGGCAGGCAGAUCGCUUGAGCCCAGGAGCUUGAGACCAGUCUGGGUAACAUAGUGAGACCCUGUCUCCACAAAAUAUAUGUUUAAAAAUUAGCUGGGUGUGGACUGAAGCAGGAGGAUCACUUGAGCCCAGGAGAUUGAGGCUGCAGUGAACUAUGAUGGUGUCACUGCACUCCAGCUUGGGUGACAGAGUGAGACCCUGUCUCAAAAAAACGCAAAGCACAAAAAACCACAACAUUUUGGACCAGACUACAUCAGAGGUGAUGUUUUUUCAUGGCAGAGGACACAUGCUAUCUGGAUGUCCCAUUAUUAGUAACUCUAGCAUGGACCACUGGCAUGGUUGAAGGGGGUCUGAUCCCACCAUUGUAAAGUCAUGUUUUCCUCCUGCAGUCGGAGAAUAUCCAGUCCCCCAUCAACUCCAUUUGCUAGUUUUUGACAAUUGCUAAUCCUUGCCUGAGUCAAUAAUUUAGUAAUUGCCAAAAAAAAAAAAGCUGACUUUUAAAUGCUAUGAUUCCUUUAACAUCUACUAGCUAUCAGCUAUCAUUUGUAUACUCUUUCCUUCAUCAUCUUGGGUUUCCCUGAAAUACAGUGGAAAGGCAAGAUAAAUACUUCAUUCUUUCUCUUUAGUUAUCUAUUUUUAAAGUAAGAAAUUAAUUUAGGCUGGGUACGGUGGCUCACGCCUGUAAUCCUAGCACUUUGGGAGGCUGAGGUGGGUGGAUCACCCGAGGUCAGGAGUUCGAGACCAGCCUGACCAACAUGGUGAAACCCUGUGUCUUCUAAAAAUACAAAAAUUAGCUAGGCAUGGUGGCAGGUUUCUGUAAUCCCAGCUACUCAGGAGGCUGAUGCGGGAGAAUCGCUUGAACCCAGGAGGCGGAGGUUGCACUGAGCCGAGAUCACGCCAUUGCACUCUAGCCUGGGAGACAGAGCAAGACUCCUCAAAAAAA